Molecule: ribosomal RNA, 253 nt
Filed under: uncultured bacterium
Lineage: Bacteria
Description: partial 16S ribosomal RNA
Rfam family: Bacterial small subunit ribosomal RNA
Source: RNAcentral
UACGUAGGGUGCGAGCGUUAAUCGGAAUUACUGGGCGUAAAGCGUGCGCAGGCGGUUUUGUAAGCCAGAUGUGAAAUCCCCGGGCUUAACCUGGGAAUGGCAUUUGGGACUGCAAGGCUUGAGUGCGGCAGAGGAGACUGGAAUUCCCGGUGUAGCAGUGAAAUGCGUAGAUAUGCGGAGGAACACCGAUGGCGAAGGCAAUCCCCUGGACCUGUACUGACGCUCAUGCACGAAAGCGUGGGGAGCAAACAGG